RNAcentral lists this ribosomal RNA (453 nucleotides) under uncultured Sphingomonas sp. RNAcentral's name for it is "partial 16S ribosomal RNA". The record is from RNAcentral. Lineage: Bacteria; Pseudomonadati; Pseudomonadota; Alphaproteobacteria; Sphingomonadales; Sphingomonadaceae.
CACGGAGUUAGCCGGGGCUUAUUCUCCCGGUACUGUCAUUAUCAUCCCGGGUAAAAGAGCUUUACAACCCUAAGGCCUUCAUCACUCACGCGGCAUUGCUGGAUCAGGCUUUCGCCCAUUGUCCAAUAUUCCCUACUGCUGCCUCCCGUAGGAGUCUGGGCCGUGUCUCAGUCCCAGUGUGGCUGAUCAUCCUCUCAGACCAGCUACGGAUCGUCGCCUUGGUAGGCCUUUACCCCACCAACUAGCUAAUCCGACGCGGGCUCAUCUCAGGGCGAUAAAUCUUUGGACUUACGUCAUCAUCCGGUAUUAGCAGUCGUUUCCAACUGUUAUUCCGAACCCCAAGGCAGAUUCCCACGCGUUACGCACCCGUGCGCCACUAAGGCCGAAGCCUUCGUUCGACUUGCAUGUAUUAGGCAUGCCGCCAGCGUUCGUUCUGAGCCAGGAUCAAACUCU